CCAAGAGAGUAUAAAGUCAUUUAAAAAAAGUCUAAAAAGGAGAGAGGAUCCAGGAGAAUAAAGUAGUCAGUGGUGUUAAAGGCAACCCAAAGGUCAAGAAGGAUGAGAAUUGAGAAAAUCCCAUCAUAUUUGUCAGUUAAUCAAUCAUUAGUAACUUGAGGAUUCAGUAAAACGGUUAGGUUAGAUGCUAGACUAGAGGGUUUAGAAUUGAGUGUAAGAGAAAGAGACAAUUGAAUAUGACUUUCUCAAGGAAUUUAGCUAAGAAGUGCUGAGAAAUAAGUAAUGAUAGCUAGUGAUGAUAAAUGGAUAGAAUGGGGGUGGGUUUUUUUUUAAUGUUUUAUUUUGUUUUUGAGAGUCACUGGAGAGUCAUGAACCCAUUUGUAGUCAGCAGGGAGCACAUCCAACAGAAAGGAAAAGAUGAAAGAGCAGCCAUAAUAGAAGGAGCUAUCUGCUGAAGAAAAUAAGAAGGAAUGGGAUCACUUGUGUACUUAAAGAAAGGAGUUUGCUUAGUAAGAAGAGCUACAUCUUCAUGUCAGGCAGGGAUGAAUGAGUUGAUAAGGGAGAGCCUGUAGGAUUUGAAACUUUGUUACCAACAUGAGAAGACUUAGCCAACAGAGUUCAUUGGAGAAAAAUGUACAUUUUGUAAAAUCUAAUGGCACCAGUUCAGUGGCCAAACCAUUUAUCAUUCAAGCGUUUAGUGAAGUCUUGCAAUAUAUGCAUGAAAUAUUUUAUAGAUGCAUACUUUAUCAGGGCUUCAAAAACAGCCCUCAAUGGGCAUCUAGAAGGGAAAUAAUAAAAUUUUACAGAAAUAAGGACUGGUAUUGAAGACCUCCAGAUGAUAAAAUUCCCUCUACCAAAGCAAUUAAGCAACAUUUUUGAAACUCAUCACUUUAGAGUGUUGCCUGGGGCAAUGAGAGGGUAUGUAAUUUUCCCAGGAUUACACAGUUGGUAUGUAUCAAAAAUGGAACUUGAAUAUAAGUCUUCCUGGCUUUAAGACUGGCUUUCUAUCUACUCUGCCAGGCCGGUUUUCAAUACUUACACACCCACAUGGAUUUAUAGAAUUCGUUCCCUAAAAUUGGCUUUGGAAAUCUCUUCAAAUUGAGAGUCAUCUGACUGAUAAUAAUUAGAUUUGGAAAACAUAAUCUUGUUUAUUUUGACUCUUGUUAUUCAUUCAUUUUCAGUUAUGUCUGAUUCUUUGUGAACAUAUUUAGGGUUUUCUGGGCAAAGAUACUGGAGUGGCUUGCCAUUUCCUUCUCCAGUUCACUUUAUAGAUGAAGAACUAAGGCAAACUGGGUUGAGUGGUCUGCUCAGGACCACACUGCUAUUAAGUGUCUGAAGCUACAUUUGAACCCAGAGAUGAGUCUUCCUGAUUCAAGGCUUGGCCCUCAAUCUAUUGCACCACCUAGCUGCCCUCUAUUUUGAUUAUGUUGCUUUUCAGUCAUUGUGAGUCAUGUCCAACUCCUCCUGACCUCAUUUGGGGUUUUCUUGGUUAAGCUACUAUUUGCUAUUUCCUUCUCCAGCUCAUUUGACAGAUGAGGAAAUGGAGGCAAACAGGGUGAAGUAACUUGCAAAGGGCCACAGAACUAGUAGAUCAGAUUUAAAGCUGUCGUCAUGACUUCCAGUCUGGUACUCUAUCCACUGUACCAUUUUAUACCUUGUGCUAAUAGCAGAGCAAGAAGGCAAGGUCAAGGCAAAUAACUGCCCCAGCUUCUUCAGUAGAACUGCUGUAGUUCCUAAUAGUCCAAUGAUUAUUCAUCCAAGUGAAUAAGAAAAAACACAGUUCUAACAGAAAGAAAAAAAUAGAAUGGCACAAAGCUGACUACAAAGUCUCACAGAGCCAGAAUCCUGACUUGUACUGUAGGACUUCAGAGCUGGAAGAAUCCUCAGCAGCCAGUUGGUCCAACCUGAACCUGAAGAAGAAUCCUCCCCACUACGUCAUAUCCAAUGUGUGGUCAUCCAGUCUUCAACUGAAGACUCCUAACAUAGCUGAACUCAUUAACUCCUGGAAGAAGUCUAUUUGGUCUCUUCUAGCCACUCUCUGUGUGACAUUGGAUAACUUAUAUAACUUCUCUGGGUUUUACUCUUAUCUGUAAUAUGGGAGAAUUGAUCUAAAUGAUCUCCAAAAUCUGUUCCAAAUCCAAA
Monodelphis domestica (gray short-tailed opossum) is the source of this 2142-nucleotide long non-coding RNA. RefSeq lists it as uncharacterized. NCBI's taxonomy places the organism in Eukaryota, Metazoa, Chordata, Mammalia, Didelphimorphia, Didelphidae. The record is from RefSeq and is a predicted model, not a curated record.